RNAcentral lists this ribosomal RNA (377 nucleotides) under uncultured bacterium. Its description in RNAcentral is "bacterial SSU rRNA". It matches the Rfam family "Bacterial small subunit ribosomal RNA", at positions 1007 to 1383 of the family's 1533-position model. The record is from RNAcentral.
GAUUGGUGUCUGCUUGCAAAACUUAUAUACGGUGCUGCACGGCUGUCGUCAGCUCGUGUCGUGAGAUGUUGGGUUAAGUCCCGCAACGAGCGCAACCCUCGUGUUUAGUUGCUAACAGUUCGGCUGAUAACUCUAAACAGACUGCCUACGCAAGUAGGAGGAAGGUGAGGACGACGUCAAGUCAUCAUGGCCCUUACGUCCAGGGCUACACACGUGCUACAAUGGGAUAUACAAAGAGCCGCAAUACGGUGACGUGGAGCAAAUCUUAUAAAAUAUCUCCCAUUUCGGAUUGUAGUCUGCAACUCGACUACAUGAAGUUGGAAUCGCUAGUAAUCGUAAAUCAGCUAUGCUACGGUGAAUACGUUCCGGGGUCUUGA